ACUCUAGUCUUUCUUUUGAUUUUCCAGCUACUAGAUAUGAUUAAACCUGUAAUAAAUGGAGUGAAGCCUCUAUAUUACAUUCUCCAGGGAGUUUUUUGUGGUAAUUUAUUAAAUAAAAAGAUAAAUUCUGUUGGGCUAAUAUAUUUGUUUUAAUUGAGCUUUGAGGGUGUUGUACAUUUGAAUGACUUUUACCCAGUAGAUACUGAAAUAUGUUUUUUAAUUAUAAGUUUGGUGUACAUAUGUGGGAAACCAGCAAAGUUCCAUAUAGUAUAGUCUUGGCUUAGUGAGAUAAAAGUUAUAGAAGAGGACAUUGGAAAUCUAGCCACACUGUGGCUAAUAGGCUUGGUUCUCUGAAAUAAAAGUAUAAUUCAGGGCCAAUAAUGUGGAAGGCAUUGAGAAGCAUAUCCACCAAGGAGCAACAUUAUGGUCAUUUUGUCUUUGUUAUUACUUACUGCUUUAUUCUGAGAACAAUACAGGCAUUAAAGUUCUAGAAGCUUCACAGAUCAUUAAUCAUCAACAUAAAUUCAGUGAAUUAGAAUUCUUUCUUCAAAAGUAUGUGUCAACUUCAGAUUGCAGAUUUGCCAAAGCUUCAUGUAGAGCCCUUCUCUCUUUUAUCACGAGUAAAAGUUCAGGUUUAAAAUAGAACAACGGAUGACUAAUGCCAUUUCCAGCUGUGACUGAAUUCUCCACUGCCUGAUGCUUUUCAAAUGUAUCUGAAUCAGAAUCGAACACCCACUUUAUGCAUAGCUCCCUAAUCAGGAAGUUAUUCUUCCCAUCAAAGCAACUGGAAAGAAAAAAGAUAAAACAAUGAAGGGAGGAGAAAACACAAAAGUUCAAGAAGAGCAGAAUGUUCCGGCAAGGAGAAAAAGCUGGGAAAAGUCACCAAUGAAUGCCAGGGUUCACCACUAUCUUAGGAAUAUCAUGAAUAAAGCGUUAGAUUGGGUGUGCCCUAACUGAUGGUCACAAGCAUGAUACUAAUUAUCAGGGUGAACAAAGCAGGGGAGUAAGAGCAUCAGUAACUGUGAAACUCUAGGAGUUUGUCUUCAUUCUUUCAGUGAUAGAAUAUCUAGCAUUUGUAUUUCGUACAUCAUACACUUGAGUUAGUAUCUGUGGAAAGGAUAAAUACAUAAGGAAAAGAGAUGCAGGAAGCUGCAGAGACACUGGCCAUUUAUCUGAGAAGUGCCCAAUGAGGCAUCACCGGAUAAGCACACGUCGGGUCGUUCUCCUGCUUCAGUAAGGUCUGUGGCGUUGACAUUAUCAAUGCUAUGGAUGCCUCAAGGCUCUCAUAAAAAUACAUGGCUUCAGCAAUACGCAUGCAGUUAUCUCAGUUUAAAGCAGCCACUAAUCUCAAUUGAAUGCAGCUGUGAAUGCAAAUUGACUGAUGUUAACAGAACUGCUCUGAGAGUUCUCAAAUAAUAUGAGGGUGCAUAGUGUGGAAGGCAGUCACUAAGUUUGGUCUAAUGGAGACCACAUACGAAGAUCUAAUUCAACACCAUGAGUUACCCCCAGAAGUUAAAUAGGUCCCUAAUUCAGCCUGCUGCAUAAGGUUGUAUCAUAAAAGAGAAAUGGGUUCUGCUCCCUGCUUAAUAAGAAAUCCUGCUUACUUCUCCAGCUUUUGAAGCACAGAUUAUUUUUCUUCUCUUCAUCAUAUAAAAAUGGAAAUUAUCAAAACAAAACAUCAUCAAAACAAAACAUCAUCAAAAACAGGUUGCUCUCUGAGUAAAGGUUUUAUGUUUGUUUGGGAUAGAAUCUCAUUCUGUCACCCAGGCCAGAGAGCACUGACAUUAUCAUGGCUCACUGCAACCUCAAACUCCCAAGCUCAAGCGAUCCUCCCACCUCAGCCUCCCAAGUAGCUGGGACCACAGAUUCACCUGUUUGCUUCCUAAGACAGAAAAUAAAUAGGAGGAAAAGGAUCAGAGUCAAAAUUCUGAUAGGCCGCUCCAUUGGGAAGUCAAGACGGUAUCUUAAGUGCUGUAUUCCACUCGAUGCUCUAUUUUCCUGCUUGCUGCAGUAACUGUGGUUUCAUACAGAGUAUUAGAACUACCAGCAGCCUGAUGGUCUUAAGCCUGGGUGCACAGGAAGGAGGACCAGUGGCCUGUGAAGAGUCAUUAAGGGGGCUGAUGCAUAAAUAUUCAAGCCUGUGACCCACCAUUCCACCUCACACAAGCCCCCUGCUAACUGCCAGUCCUGUUGUAGUUUUCUGGAAUCCAUAUAACCUGUUAUUU
This 2225-nucleotide long non-coding RNA is filed under the name Homo sapiens (human). Its description in RNAcentral is "PREDICTED lncRNA (TCONS_00154211)". Lineage: Eukaryota; Metazoa; Chordata; Mammalia; Primates; Hominidae. The record is from RNAcentral.